AUCCCAGCUACUUGGGAGGCUAAGACAGGAGAAUUGCUUGAACCUGGGAGGUGGAGGUUGCAGUGAGCUGAGAUUGCGCCACUGCACUCCAGCCUAGGCAACAGAAUGAGACUCCAACUCAAAAAAAAAAAAAUGUUAAACGAUACAUUUCAUGUUUACAAGAUACAGGGUCUUGCUCUGUCACCCAGGCUAGAGUGCAGUGGCACCAUCAUAGUUCACUGAAGCCUUGACUUCCUGGACUCAAGUGAUCCUCCCACCUCAGCCUCCUUAGUAGCUGGGACCACAAGCAUGUGCCACUGUGACUGGCUUUUUUUUUUUUUUUUAAACAGAGCCUCCCUCUGUCGCCCAGGCUGGGAUGCAGUGGUGCCAUCUCAACUCACUGCAACCUCUACCUCCUGGGUUCGAGCUAUUCUCCUGCCUCAGCCUCCUGAGUAGCUGAGACUACAGAUGCCUGCCACCACACGGAGGGUCACGAAGGUGUGUUCCAAGGCCACAUCUCCAACCUCACAGAGAGGACAGGAAGUGAUCAGUACCCCAACUAGCAAGAGUGGCCCGUUCAUUGGCCGAGGUUCUUGAGGAUAGAGUGGGAGGUGGGAGCGUCCCUCGUGCUGCCUUCAUUUUUCCUACCCUCAGCUCAGGGGUCUGUGCUAGAGGAAGACACACGAAGGCUACUGUGCCCCCACCACAAGAGAGGGAAACAGGGAGACGCGUGGGUCUGGAGCCAAGCGUAUCUCUCUGUACCCAUCGCACACGAAUUUGAAUCAUCUGCUCUUUGGAAUCGCCUACACCCUGCUGCACCCACGAUGUGGCUGUAACUCCAUUAAAGAAUUGAAUAUCAUCUUCCACGGAAUCUCUGUCUGCACAAAAGGGGCACAUUUAAUUUUCUGUUUUUUAAAUAAAGGUUUAAAAAAUCCUUUUGCAAAGCGAUGAUAGAGGCACGUGGUUCGAAAUUGACAUGCACAGGAGAACAGACCAUGAAAAGUCUCUCUCCCACCCCUUCCUCCCAGCCAAAAGUUUCCUCCCACUCCAUGCCAAUGACUGUUAACUGUUUCCUGUGUCCCCAAAGAGAUGUUCUUCUAUGUGUGUCAAAGCAAAGUAUAUUUUCACUAUUCUUCCUCUUUGGUUUAUGCUGCACUCAUUUUUCUGCGUCUGGCUGUUCUCGACAGGAGUAGCAG
This 1175-nucleotide long non-coding RNA is filed under the name Homo sapiens (human). RNAcentral describes it as "HSALNT0255791". The record is from RNAcentral. Lineage: Eukaryota; Metazoa; Chordata; Mammalia; Primates; Hominidae.